GACGAACGCUGGCGGCGUGCUUAACACAUGCAAGUCGAACGCUGAAGCUUGGUGCUUGCACUGGGUGGAUGAGUGGCGAACGGGUGAGUAAUACGUGAGUAACCUGCCCUUGACUCUGGGAUAAGCCUGGGAAACUGGGUCUAAUACUGGAUACGACAUGUCACCGCUUGGUGGCGUGUGGCAAGGGUUUUACUGGUUUUGGAUGGGCUCACGGCCUAUCAGCUUGUUGGUGGGGUAAUGGCUCACCAAGGCGACGACGGGUAGCCGGCCUGAGAGGGUGACCGGCCACACUGGGACUGAGACACGGCCCAGACUCCUACGGGAGGCAGCAGUGGGGAAUAUUGCACAGUGGGCUAGAGCCUGAUGCAGCGACGCCGCGUGAGGGAUGACGGCCUGCGGGUUGUAAACCGCAUUCAGCACGGAAGAAGCGAAAGUGACGGUACGUGCAGAAGAAGCGCCGGCUAACUACGUG
This 472-nucleotide ribosomal RNA is filed under the name uncultured bacterium. RNAcentral describes it as "partial 16S ribosomal RNA". It matches the Rfam family "Bacterial small subunit ribosomal RNA", at positions 28 to 507 of the family's 1533-position model. The record is from RNAcentral.